GAUCCGGCUCAGAUUGAACGCUGGCGGCAUGCCUUACACAUGCAAGUCGAACGGUAACAGGUCUUCGGAUGCUGACGAGUGGCGAACGGGUGAGUAAUACAUCGGAACGUGCCCGAUCGUGGGGGAUAACGAGGCGAAAGCUUUGCUAAUACCGCAUACGAUCUACGGAUGAAAGCGGGGGAUCUUCGGACCUCGCGCGGACGGAGCGGCCGAUGGCAGAUUAGGUAGUUGGUGGGAUAAAAG
RNAcentral lists this ribosomal RNA (243 nucleotides) under uncultured bacterium. Its description in RNAcentral is "partial 16S ribosomal RNA". It matches the Rfam family "Bacterial small subunit ribosomal RNA", at positions 15 to 263 of the family's 1533-position model. The record is from RNAcentral.